Molecule: ribosomal RNA, 464 nt
Filed under: Enterobacteriaceae bacterium
Lineage: Bacteria; Pseudomonadati; Pseudomonadota; Gammaproteobacteria; Enterobacterales; Enterobacteriaceae
Description: bacterial SSU rRNA
Rfam family: Bacterial small subunit ribosomal RNA
Source: RNAcentral
UCACUGGAAGUGAGCACGGUCCAGUUCCUACGGGAGGCAGCAGGGGGAAUAUGCACAAUGGGCGCAAGCUGAUGCAGCCAUGCUGCGUGUAUGAAGAAGGCCUUCGGGUUGUAAAGUACUUUCAGCGAGGAGGAAGGCAUUAAGGUUAAUAACCUUAGUGAUUGACGUUCCUNGCAGAAGAAGCACCGGCUAACUCCGUGCCAGCAGCCGCGGUAUAAGGAGGGUGCAAGCGUUAAUCGGAAUUACUGGGCGUAAAGCGCACGCAGGCGGUUUGUCAAGUCGGAUGUGAAAUCCCCGGGCUCAACCUGGGAACUGCAUUCGAAACUGGCAGGCUAGAGUCUUGUAGAGGGGGGUAGAAUUCCAGGUGUAGCGGUGAAAUGAGUAGAGAUCUGGAGGAAUACCGGUGGCGAAGGCGGCUCCCUGGACAAAGAUUGACGCUCAGGUGCGAAAGCGUGGGGAGCAAA